RNAcentral lists this ribosomal RNA (492 nucleotides) under uncultured bacterium. RNAcentral describes it as "partial 16S ribosomal RNA". It matches the Rfam family "Bacterial small subunit ribosomal RNA", at positions 29 to 507 of the family's 1533-position model. The record is from RNAcentral.
AGUGAACGCUGGCGGCAGGCCUAACACAUGCAAGUCGAACGGAAGCACAGUAAGAGCUUGCUCUUACGGGUGGCGAGUGGCGGACGGGUGAGGAAUACAUCGGAAUCUACUUUUUCUGGGGGGAUAACGUAGGGACACUUACGCUAAUACCGCAUACGUCGUACGGGUGAAAGCAGGGGAUCUUCGGACCUUGCGCGAUUGUAUGAGCCGAUGUCGGAUUAGCUAGUUGGCGGGGUAAAGGCCCACCAAGGCGACGAUCCGUAGCUGGUCUGAGAGGAUGAUCAGCCACACUGGAACUGAGACACGGUCCAGACUCCUACGGGAGGCAGCAGUGGGGAAUAUUGGACAAUGGGCGAAAGCCUGAUCCAGCCAUACCGCGUGAGUGAAGAAGGCCUUCGGGUUGUAAAGCCCUUUUGUUGGGAAAGAAAAGAAGCAGGUUAAUCCCCCGCUGUUUUGACGGUACCCAAAGAAUAAGCACCGGCUAACUUCGUG